GUCCAUGACGUGCUUGCGCUCUUGGGAAUGCCUGAGAGCAUGUCUGCUUCAGUGCUUCUACUUUCAUUUUCUGCUGCUCUUGUUAUCGGGAGCAGUGUUGCUGCAUGCUUCUGCAAAAGGCACUGGCAUGCUAAGUAUCAAGUUUUGCUUGCUGUUCUGACUGAUCAACAUCUCAUGUCGUUUCAGUUGGCGAAACAAAAGCUGAAGUGUGUUCUUAACACUUCCUAGCAUGAAGUCAGACAAGUGAACCCGCUGAACUUAAGCUAUGGAUCCCCAUAGCAUUUGCAAUCUUGACCUCAAAUCAGGCAAGGCUACCCGCUGAACUUAAGCAUAUGGAUCCCCACAAGUGCCCACUC
RNAcentral lists this ribosomal RNA (356 nucleotides) under uncultured Symbiodinium. RNAcentral describes it as "eukaryotic LSU rRNA". Lineage: Eukaryota; Dinophyceae; Suessiales; Symbiodiniaceae. The record is from RNAcentral.